GUCACAACCAGCUACAGACCUGGUGAUAGCAGCAGGCUCUUCUGGAAGGUUAUGCUAUAAUGUCCAGUUUGGGGUUGCUGUGAAGGUGUUAUUAAAUGUGAUGAACAUUUUAAUCAAUAAACUUUGAGUGAAGCAGAUUACCCUUCAGUUGAAGGUUUUAUGAAAAAGGAAUGAAGUCUUUGAAAAAAGACAAAAAUUUACCUCCAGACUGCUUUGAACCUGACAAUGCAACAUAAACUCUUUCCUGGGAUUCCAUCCUGCCAGCCUUGCUGAUUUCAGACUUGUCAACCUCCACAAUCAUGGAGAAAACCAGUUUAACGUGAGUGAAAAGAACAUAACCGGUCUCUAACUGCAGGCUUAAUUGUGAGAAAAUGGGCACAUCACUCACUGAAGGUAACACUACUGACUAUACAAAAGAGAAAUAUUUGGCUCUUCUUUGACUGGAAGCUUCCUAAGAUAAAGAGGACGGUAUGUCUUUCCAUACUUCAAGGAUCUUCUUGAAGAGGUGUUCAUUUGCUUCCACAGAGAGAGCUUCAGCGUUGAAGGGUCACAUCAGACAUAACUUCAGAUUCUGCAUCGAUGAUGUGAUAUCCAUCUGCUGAGCUGAAGAAAAUCUUUAGUGUUUUCUCAGAACCAAUAGCCAGGUCAACUGUCACUGGCUUAUGACCAAGAGUUGGAAAUACCUGAAAAUAUAAAAACAAGUAUGGCCAAAAGGCAUUCGAACUAAGAGCACUUCGUGUCAAAUAAACAAAGUUUACUUUUCCAUGUGAUAAUCAUGAAUAACUUGAAUACAAAAUCAGACACAUACCUUGAAUUGAACUUGACACGGUGUGGACGUUGUGGACAUUCCUGGUUAUAAGGCACGGAAGCUGGCAUCUCUUGGACCUUGAAGACACAAUGUAAUUCUUAGUUUUUGGCAGACACAACAUCUUUGUUUGUAUGUGGUGCUGAGGAUCGAACCUGGGCCGCACACAUGCCAUGGAAGCGCACUACCGCUUGAGCCACAUCCCCAGCCCUUGAAAAUAUUUUCAUGUGCUUAUUAUCCAUUGUAUAUGUUCUUUGAGAAAUGUCUAUAAAAAUUCUUUGCCUUUUUUAAAAGUUGGGUUUUCUUUUCAACAUUAAAUUUUUAAGGGCUCUUCAUAUAUUGUAGACACAAGUACUUUAUCAAAUAUACAAUUUGCAAAUAUUUCUCCCAUUCUCUGAGUUUCCUUAAACUUUCUUGAUACUGUACAUUGAGCCACAAAAAUUAAUUUUUAUGAAUUCCAAAUUGAUGGUUUCUUAUUUUGUUGCUUGUACUUUUGGUGUCAUAUCUAAAGAUCUAUUGCCAAACCAAAGGUCACAAAGAUUUACUCUUGUGUUCUCUUCUAAGCAUUUUACUACUUUAGCUCUCACAUUUAGGUAUCUAAUCUACUUUGAGUAAUUUUUUUUUAUAAAGUAGGGCCCAUCUUAAUUCUUUUGUAUGUGGAUAUCUAGUAUCACACUGUAUUUAUUAGUCUGUAAUUUAUUACAUUUUAGAGGCACUGUUUUUUUCUCUACCAAUCUUUUAAAAAUGUUUAAAAUACUUUAUUUUCCUAAUCACAGUGGUGGUACAUGUAUACAGAGCAAGAUGUACAAGUGGUCUAUUCUCACUAAAUCUUUCCCCCACUCAUUUUAGCAGUUUAUAGUAUAAAUUCUUUCAGAGAGUUGUAUAUGCUGAUACAAUAGAGGAAUGACUGGAUAAAGAUAUGAUGAAAAGAUACAUGUUUAUAUUUAUAUAUUAUACAUGAUAUUUAUUUUAAAUCUAAACAAGUUAAUAUUAUUCUAUUUUUUCAAUUCAAACAUUUUAUGAAUAUGUAAAACACAUUUAUCUAUAUCAAUAAGCAAAUUCUGUUUCUUUUUAUGGCUGCAUAAGACUGCAUAGAACAGACAUAUAGGUCUAAUGCUCAGUUGCUGGGAUCAGGCUUACAGGUAUUGCCUUUAAGAAUGAUCUGUAUAGCGAUAAUUGAAGCCUUCUGACUGGAUGAGAUCACUCAAGUAGAACACAUACUUUCACAAGACAGCUAUAGCAUAAGACAGUAUGGCAUCAGUCAGAAAAGAGCACCUACCAUGGGCAUUAGGACUCUUAGGAUUUAGCACUGAUUUGAGAGUAGGAAAUUCUCACUUAAAUCUCUCCAAGGUUCAUUUUACUUUUUUCUAAAAGGAAGAUGGUGACCAUUUCCUAUUUCCAUGGAAUGACAAGUUAGUGGGGCCAAAUGGGAUAAAAUAUGUGAAAUUCUUUGAUAUAUUCAGAAUAAAAAUGAAUAAAUACAAGCUAUUAUUACAAAAUAUCUUGUAUUACUUGACCUCUUGUUUGAAUUAGAGUUCUAUCAGAACUGAGAAAUUCUGUCUACUUUUUUCCUUAAUCUACAAACAUUAGCACUCUCCAUUCCCAGUACAUUUGUUAUAGUGAAAUAAAAUAAGAAGCAAUUGUCUCUCCCUAAGUUCAUCUAUGUAUGCAUGUACCAUGUCAACCAAGUAGUUUGAUAAUUCUUCUGUAACCCUUAUUUCUUGCCAAUCUAGGAAAAAAAAUCCUCACUUUUAAUAAAUUGAAAAUUACUAUACUUUCAUAUAUAUAGGUGAGAUGCAUGCAGAAAAUGAAAAUUUUAUAUUACAAAAAAGUUAUCUUAGAUUGCUAGAAAUUUAUAAUGAACAUAUUGUUGAUUUGUGCGUUUAAGUAGUAUGGUUCUAACUUAAGCAAUCACAGGGAGUAAGAUUCAUAUGUAGGAAUGAAAUUGACAAUGAUUAAUACAAGACAGUGAACAACAAAUUGGAAGACGAUGUUAGAUGACUCAGGAAGGAAUUCUGCACUUGACAAAUAGAUUCACCACUGGGCUCCUUUGAAUGCCUACUAUCUCUAGAUUAUAUUUGAUUGAAAAUAAAAUGACUCUUCCAUUGCAUCUAGAAAUGUUUCAUUUAUAUAAACAUUUUAGAAAUAUUUUUGUUGUCAAAAAUGAAAUAUUUUGUAGAUUAUAAAGUAAAAAAUAGAGAUUCUAAAUAAAAAUACAAAGAUUUCCUUUUCUGAAUUUCAGUGAAAAAAAAAGAUAUUUUUGGCUUCUGGGGGACAAUGAACCAAGACAGGGACAACUGAUGUAAAAAACAAUUAAGGGGUUAACUGACAAUUAUUUUUACUUCUUCCUAGCAUUUUUAUCAACUACCCUGACUUAAUGACUUGAGGAAAGAAGUCUCUUAGCUGAAUUGAAUAGGUAACUGAAUGUAUCUAUUCAGUAAUCAGUUUUCUUCUUAGCUUAUUAUCUAAAACCCAGCAGGAAAAUGGGCAAUUACUUUUAAUGUUUAGUUUUAAAUAUACUCGUGAAAUAAAUAUAAGGAAAUGCACUAGGCUUCAUAGUGUCACCAAGUUGAAUCAAUUUUUUUGCUUGUAAAUUAGCUUUUCUCCUCCUAAAUGUCUAUAGUUUUCUGUAUCAUUUAAAAAUCUGAGAGAAAUAGCUGGAAGCUGCAGAGCAUUAUUUGGCAUUUUCCUAGGAUUUUUCAGUGAAUUUAUCCAUAAACAUUCAACUUUUAGAAAAUAAAUUUAGGUACCUAUUUGUCUUAUUGGGGAAGGGGAUGGAGCCUCAUUUGUAAAGUUGGAACCCCAGUGAAAGGUGAAAGGUUCUUUCUAUUUAUUGCAAAAUGAAGGCAUAAAUGAAUAAAACUACCCAUUUAUAGCAUGAGGAAUUACAUAGAAGUACAGGCUUGAGUCUCAUCCUAACCUUGCAAACGAAUUAAUAAAUCCCCUUCAAAUUCCUUUAAUCUGUUUUCUACAAAGGUAAAAGUUAAUCCUGUGGCUUUCAUUUCUGUCAUUUCUGGAAGGCUCUUAGACUUCCAUGAAUCUCUGUGAUGUAGCCCUCCUUUGAAAUGGUAACAAUAUCUGGUCCCAUAUAGAAAUAACCCAAAGAGACUAGCCAUUUUGUAUGUACUCUCAGCUUAUAAUAUUAAGAUUCUACCAAGAGGAAUAUGAACUCAUAAUACUAUAAUAAAUAGGAAUGAGAUGCUGGAGUGAAGCUAGGAAUACAAAUAACAACUUAAAAAGAAGCAGAGGCAAGACGGAGUCUUGUUUGGUUUUUUAAUGUCAAGGAGAUUGCUUUUCUUUCUUUGUUACAAAGCUAACAUCACCUAGCAAGAAUAGGAGAAUAGCUGAACUCUUAGCAGGGAAGGAGUUUUUGUGGAGUUACUUUACCUAUUAGAAACCUGAGGUCUAGAGACAUAAAAAGACCACUCUUCCAAGUACUUUUUGUCUCAUUGGUGGUAGACUUUGGGUUUGAACUUUUUUCUAAAUUUCCACAUUAUUGCUAUUUCCAUGAACCCCUGACAUCUACAAGAUGUGUGAGCAAGUCACAUACUUUCUGACCCAAAGGAAUAAAGGUGUUUUGAAGAUGCUAAAUGGCUGAUUAGCUAGCAGUGAAUUUUCUUACUAAAUAAUCAGAAAAUCAAAGUCCUUGACUAGGAGAAAAAAGAAAAAAAAUACCAAGAGUAGGUUUAAAUGUAAACUCCCCCAAAACAAAUAAAUGUAGAUCAGAUAUGUUUGGAAAGCAUUAGUGUAUUUGCCACUCUCAAUUAACAGGAAGUUGAGCUUGUGAGAAACACAUAAGUACAUUAUAUCCAUCAGGCCAAGUGGGUAAUUUGAAACUCUUACACAUCGCCUGUAAUAUGAUGCUACAGCAUUUCCUGGCUGAGGGCCAGUUGAUCUGAGGCUGACCUGAAUACCCUGCUUUUUGUCAAGAAGAGUCAGUUAAAAUAUGCCAGAACUUCCUUUGUAAUUUCACCAAAUUCUAGAAUCAAAAUCCGUUUUACUAUGGAAAAAUACCAGAAAAGUUUGGGGGUAAGAUCUUUAAAGAAUUUUAUUAACGUAAGUGUUUGAUGAAAUCAGAAUCUGUCAAACAAUUAUAUUUUUCAUACCAUAUGUUUUGUGACCUCUGAUCUGCUAAAGACUGUUAUAACUGUUUCCUUUGGAUAUGCCUUAUCUCUCAAGAUAAAUUAUAUAAAUAAAGGGGGACCAGUACUUAAAAGAUAAAUCAUGAAUCUGUUUAGCAAUACUUUUCUAAUAUAAUAGAAAGAUCCCAAAUAUGAUGGUCUUGAUAGAAAAUGUUAUUUUUAAUGUGCUGGUAGUAUAUUUAUUAAGGCACAAAAGGCUGGAAAUAUCUAAAUCUCUUAUGUUGAAUGGGGGAGAAAUGUCAGAAAAUAGCAAUGAAUUUUAUUGAUAAGAGUGGGAAUUCUGCUUUUAGGUCCAUAUAAUACCAACAUCUAUUGAAAAGAUAAUUUUAUUUGCCUGAGCUUAUUUUUGAGCCAGUUAGGAUGAGAGAUAUCUCAAAAAGUUACAAGUAAAAUACAUCUUCACAAUCCUCCAUGUGUUCAAGGGCAGCUGCCAGAUGUUUGAAGGCUUUUAGUCAGGGUAACCUGUCGGUGUUCUGUCUGCUAUUGCUCUUAAAAUAAAAAUGGGAAGCUGAGCUGGGGUUAUGGCUCAGUAGCAGAGCACUUGCCUAGCACGUGUGAGGCACUGGGUUCAAUCCUCUGCACCACAUAAAAAUAAAUAAAUAAAAUAAAGGUAUUGUGUCUAUCUACAAAUAAAAAUAUUUUUUAAAAAGGGGAAAACCAUCAUUUGGCUCAUAUAUAAUGUCAAUGUUUGUUAGAGUCAUAUGGAAGAGAAGCUAUUUAGUCUAGACCACAUGCACAAGGUGUGCAAAAGACAUUUCCAAGGCCAGUUUUAGGCAAAAUUUGCUCUUGGUCCCAUCAAUACCUCUUUUGUUACCACCCAGUGGGAAGCCUCCAUAUUCUGUAGAUGUACUUAACAUCCUUCCUCGGCAGCCAACACUUUCCUGUUCAGAUGACCAUUUCUUCUAGGCCCCGCUCUUUGACAAAUGCUAGUGUUCAAAUAUGAUGACUGAAUCUAUGUGAACAUGUUACAAGAUAUAAAUAUAUUAUCACUUCUAGGCAAGAAAACUUCAGGGGCAGCCUUAUAGAAAUAAUGACAAUUCAAAUAGAUGAGUUUAAAGUUGAAAAUUAAAGGAAGGACUGCUGGGCUAAUGAGCACUUUUAAUACUCACGCUGUAUCUCCAUCCAACAGACUUUUGAUAUUUAUUCACUCUCACCUUCCUUCCUAUUUCAGGUAAAGGAGUCUGCAAAACCAAGAACGAAAUGUUAUUAAACCUACUGGUCCAUUCUGAAAAUGAUUUAUGCUUAAGUAUUUUGUACUCCUUUAGGACUAAAUUAAAUAGUAAGAUAAUAUUAUUCCUCUCGAGUCUCACUAAUAGUUCUUUCUUAUUAUAUAUAGAAACUUGGCACAACAUUCAUGGUAAUAGAUGUAACUGCCAUAUUAAUGGGAAAAUUAUAGUUAAAUAAUAGUAAAGUACUAUUUUCCAUUUAUAAACACAGGUAAUUAACACCAAUCAUCUAUCGGCUAAACACGAUUUUUAAAUAUUUCAAAAAUCCGAGUAUCUGAAACAUAGAUUAGAAGUGGGUCCAGGUGUCUCAAGCCAAAACAAGAAAAUAAAUAUUUUCUAGAUUCUCAUUCAAAAAAGACCGAGGUUGAUAAUUUAGAAGCCAUGAUUUGCAGAGCAAAAUGAAUCCACAAAACCUCAAAAUCCAUUGAAACUCAAAUUGGUUUCCAACGUUUCAUAUUUUUCCAACGAAAAGCACACAAGUCUCUAAAUAGUUGCAGCCUCAUUUCCUAAACAAAUUGGAAAAAAAAUCUAUGAUAUUGACAACAGUUCUGUGAAUCAGUAUGUUUUUUCAACUCAGAUUUUCUCUUUUUAAAAAAUAUUUGUUUUUUUAAUUGUACUUGGAUACAAUACCUUUAUUUUAUUUAUUUAUUUUUAUGUGGUGCUGAGGAUUGAACCCAGAGCCUCGCACAUGCUAGGCAAGUGCUCUACCAAUGAGCCACAAUCCCAGCCCAUCAACACAAAUGUGGAAAUAUAGUGAACCAAUAAGUACAGUAUACUAAUGUGUAUAAAUAGUAUUAAGUGACAAAUAUAAUAGAUCCAGAUUAAGAUAACAAUAAUUACAUAAAACAACGAUUUUAAAACAAAAUAUUUUCUGAGAUGUUUAUCCCAAGAACACUAUCCAUUAAUGGAACAGAACACAGAGAGAGUAUAAUAUUACCUUACGCGCAUUCAUCACUUUAACAGCUGUAAAUGCACCAGUCUUUUCAUGGAGUCCCUGAAACACAGGAUAGUGACAAACGUCAAAUGUUAACUAUGUAGCUAUCAAGAAGCAACCAAACUAAAAAAAAAUACUAUACAAAUUACAUAAAGUCAAAAACAGAGCAUAUAAUGAAAUAUAAAAUAUGACAUAUAGAUGAAAUAUAAAGUAAAUAUAUAAAAAAGAAAUAUUAAGUUAUCAACACUUUAAAGAAAUCCCAACCAUUUCACUCCAAAUAAUUAAGAAAGUUUAUGGAGUAGUUUUGCUUUUUAUAUAUUUGUACUAAGUGUGAACAUUAAUUGAUCCUUUAAACAUAUUGCUUAGUUAAUGUAUUUAGUCUAGAUUUGUAUGACACCUAAGCAUCUGGAUGAAAAAUACAAAUUUUCAUUAGAAGAUGGUGGGAAAGGAGGUGGACAUUUCUUUUUUAUAAUUAUUUGUUCUAAUUAUGCAUGACAGCAGAAUGCAUUUUGACUCAUUGUACACAAAAGAAGCACAACUUUUCAUUUCUCUGGUUAUACACAAUGCAGAGUCACAUAAUUUGUGCAAUCAUACAUAUAGACAUUUCUUUACAUACAUAAAUUUCUCAAUAAGGAUCACUAAUAAAAACAACUUAUAAUUAAUUUAAGAGCCUAAACUGUUUAAUAUGUCCUGAAUUAUAUAAACCAAAAAGUUUAUGAAAGAAACUAGUUCUAGAAGAUUCUUUCUUAUUGGAAACAUGAUGAGUUCUAAGAACUUAUUCUUUUCCUGAAUGAAGAGCAAGUUGUAAAAUUACAAAGUUUUAAAAAAUGAACAUAUUUGUUUAAAUUUAAAGCUCUUAUUUUGGGUUCUAACUUAUAAACAUAUUUGAAGCUAUGGUAAUAAAAGAAAUUUCAGUCCAGCUUUAGUAUGAGUAACUUAAGUUUGGGAUAAACUUAAAAAGAAUGCCUGAUUUUCUAGUUCUCUAGCAGAAAAUUUGAUUUUGGGGGUAGACUGUGUUGAACAGUGUCCACCCAAAUUUCAAAUUGAUCUGGAACCCCAAAUUGUGACCAUAUUUGAAAACAGAUUCUUUGUAGAUGUAAUCAAAUUAAGGUGAGGUCAUACAAAAGUAGGGAACUAAAAGAACACUAUCACCUGUCUUCAUUGCAGCAGCUUAUUUAGAUAGAAUGAGAUUAUUUUGUAGGGUUACAACAGCACUUAAAUUGAAUGGAGUUCAUAAAAGUUACUGAAUAUGUUGAAGACUUCAGAUUUAUUUACAUCUCUGGGAGAAAUUAUAAACGUACACACACAUAGAUGUAUUCAAAUAGCAAUUAUGAUUUAGAAAGAAUUUUUUCCUAACUAUGCCUACAAAUAUUUCCUACUGAAAAAUUUCCCAUAUCUGUAUGCACAAAUAAAACAUGUUGGAAACUGGUUCUCAUAGACCCCUUAAAAGAAUGACAAUGUCCCCUUCUUUGAUUCUAAGAGGUUAUUUAUGGGCCAAACUACUAUUCUGUGUAAUACAGAUUAUUUAGCAUAUUAAGAAAGAUAUUAGUCCACACUUUAUUUGAUUUAAAUGAUAGUGAACUUUAAAAGUUUUAAAAUCUGAAAUGUAUAGCCAUUAAACUUGUGUUAUACAGUAGUAGGAUAACUGAAUGUCAUUAAAAGGUGCUAUCCAUAGCCAUAGAACAAAAAGUGUCAGCUUGGUUCUACCCUCACUAUAUACAGUUGAUUUUCAUUUGAAAAUUGUACAAAAUUAUUUUGUCUGACAAUGUAUCCCAUUGUUGGGUUUCAAAAUAUACUGUUACUACAGAGGAAUAAAACCCUAGAUCUUGGAAUGUAAUUGUUUAAGACCAAACCAUUAUACAAGCUUCCAUAGCUAAAGAUAAAUUGUUGCCAUUAAAAUAACAUUUGAGAGAGUUCCCCUGUAUUUUGACCUUUAAAAGUUAUUUUGAAAUAUUUUUGAACAGACAAUAGUUUCAAAGAUAGCACCUCUACACUGUAUAUCUUCACCCAGAUUUUUCUAAAGUUAACAUGUUUCAUGACCACGGUACAGUUGUCAAAACUGAGAAAUUAAUAUGGGUACAAUGCCCUUAAUUAAAUUUUAGGCUUGUUCUAAUAUUCCUGGUUUUUCUACUAAUGUCCUUUUUUCAGGACCCAAACUGGGAUCCCAUAUUCUAACUAACAACCAUGUCUCCUUACUUCUCCAGUCUUUAUUUUUCAUGACUGACACUUUUCAAGAGUACUGGUCAAGUAUUUUGCAUAACGUUCCUUAGUUUGGGUUUGGCUGAUGUUUUCCUGUGAUUAGACUGAGGUUAUGUGUUUUGGGAAAAAAAUAUCACAGAGAUAAAAUAUCCUUUCUUCACAUAACGUGAGGGGUGUGUGGCAUUACUAUGAUCAUGAUAUGAUCAAUGGUGAUGCUAACUUUAUCAUUUAGCUAAGGUAAUAUUUGCCAGGUUUUUUUCCACUGCAAAAUUACUAUUUUCUCCUUUCAAACUCUGUUCUCUCGAAGUGAUUGUCAAUGGUUUUGAAGAGGUUUUGUAUGUCUACAUAGAGAACCUAGAAGUUAUCUUGAGAUAAUUGUUCAGUAGUGCCAUCUUGUGGUUCACUGAUUAUAUGGAAGCUGUUUAGUGACCUCCUUAGCUGAAUAACAGUACAUCAUAAAUUUUCUAAGUGAGAUGUUGAAUUAGGCCAUGCAUAUCUGGUUUUUAGGAUGAGUAUUUUUUUCAGUUAUAAUGUACAAUCUAUGGCAAAUGAAGUUAAACCAUUAUUUGUUAGCAUUAUCUGUGUUUUAACAGUGUUUAAGAAAGGAGUUUGGUUUUGAAUUCUACAUUGAGUGUUAAAUAAUCACAAUCGUCAUUGGCUGUAGAGAAUUUCACACAGGAAAAUAACAAGAGCCCUAAAUUAUAAAUGUGGAUUUUGUUCUCUUUUUCUUACCAGCAAUAAUCAGCAAUGCAUAGGAAUCAGGAGCUGUACUAGUAGCUGCUCCCUUAGAUUGAAUUUGAGUACACAAAAUGGCCUUUAUAUAUUUUUUUAUAUUGGAAAAUAAAAAGUGUAUACAUUUCUGGUGCAUUAACAAGAUGACUUAAUAUAUGCUUACCUUGUGGAAUGGCUAAAUCAAACUACCUAACAUAUGCAUCAUCUCACAUGCUUAUAUUUAUUUUAGUGGGGAAAAUAUAAGCCUUAAAAUCUAUUUUAUUGAGUUUGAAGGUUCCCAACACAAAGAAAUGAUAAAUGUUUAAGGAUAUGGAAACACUAAAUACUCUCAUUUUAUCAGUACACACUGUAUGCAUUUAUUGAAUUAUCACACUAUACAAUGCUAUAUCAAUUUUUUUUUAAAAAUCUCUUAAAAAUUCUAAGUAUACAAUGUAUUUGACUUUUAAAAAAUUUUGUUCUAAUUAUUUAUACAUCUAAUUAUCCAAUAUAGUUUUAUUAACCAAAGUCACCAUGUUCUUUGAUCAUUUUCCCAUCCUUACACUGUACUUUGCUUCUAGCAAGCACUUAUUUUACUCUGUUUCUGUUAGUUUGCCUCUUUAUAGAUUACUUACAUAGUUAAAACAUUUGUUAUUUUUUUCUGUGCCUGGCUCAUUUCACUUAGCAUAAUAUCCUCUAAGUUCAUCCAUGAUAUCACAAAUGACAGAAUUUCCUCUUAUUAAAUAAUUCUUGAGAGUCAAAGAGCAAGAAGAAAAUUCUUAGAUCUCAUUCUUAUCAUAAGAAAUGGUUACGUAAAUCAUUUAUGGAAGUCCAUAGGCUGUGUACAGAAGAUGAUAUGUAAUAGAAAUGCUUUAUAGCUGUUAUGGUUUGGAUAUAAAGUGUCCCCAAAAAUCUCAUGUGUUAGAAUGCUCAAAAGUGAUAUGAUUAGAUUAUAAGAACUGCAACCUGAUCGGUGGAUUAAUCCAUUUAAUGAUUUAUAUUUUGAAAGGACUACUGUACUGGGUGGUGGCACACGGGAAGCAAGGUGUGGCUGAAAGAAUUAGAUGACUGGGGGCAAGACUUUGAGGUUUAUAUUUUCUUCAUGGUAAGUGCAGCUGUCUCUUUCUGCUUCCUGACUGCCAUGAACUGAGCAACUUUCCUCUGCCAUGCUCUUCUGACAUGAUGCUCUGCUUCAUCUUUGGCCCAGAGCUAUGGAGUCAACUGACCGUAGACUGAACCUCUGAAACUGGGAGCUCAACAUAAACUUUUGUUUCUCAAAGUUGUUAUAGUCAGGCAUAGUGAUCAAAGUGAAUUAAAGCUGACUAAACAAUAUCCAUUCCUGACUGUAGGCUUAAGACUAUUGACACUGAGAAUCAAGAUGUAUACCAUCUUCAUAUUAGGCAACUCAUUGUCUUAUUAUCCAAUUCAUUCAACAUACUCAAGAUUGGUUAUUAAUGUAUCAAGCAAAUAUUAAAUUAUGGUUUGAUAAUCAACAGGAGAACAGCUACUUUAAAAAUUUCUCACCACAUGCCAUAACCAGAAAAAUGUAUAAAAUUCAUUCAAGUUCUCUCCUCCAUUUUGUUAAGGCAACAAAACUCCCUGAUUAUUCGGACAUUAGCUGAAAUAAAGACAUAUGAUUAUUUUCAUUUAUGUUUUAGUAUGUGUUAAAGUAGUCAGAUGAGGUAACUACAAUCAUGACAAUGAACAGGUAUGUAUUGAUGGAAAGGAAAGGCAGAGGAAGGAAAGGGCCAGAGCCUCAGAAAUUCCAGGAGAGGCUGUUCUUCAGCUAUAAUGAAGGGAAUAGAUGUCUGGAAUGGGAGGGAGGAAAAGUGAGUAAGGAUGGAUUUUUAAGUUUUGAGAGGAGGAAGAUAGAGAGGUGGAAAGAUAAACUGUUCCAAGUCACAAGUUUAUUGGAGGAAUUUACAGUUUUUACAAUGGAUAAUCUGAUAAAAUUAGAGAAUAGAAUAAAAAAUAAAAACUUGUUUUAACAUAAAUUCUUAGAUUCCCUCAUCCAGUCUGUGAAAAGGGUUAAAGGAAUUAAUAUAUGCUACCAUGAGCAGAACAUAAAUAAGAUCUUAAAACACUUUCCUGACAAAUUUAUGCUGUCACAGCUAACUCUGUUUCCUGGGGUUGCACAACAAAAUACAGUAAUUAGGAAGAACAUGUAUUCUUUUCACAGGGCUAGUUGAAAUUACCCAGGAGAGAACAUAAAUCCCUCAAUGUGUUGAUUUCAAUUUGGCAAGGAUUUGUGUUAUUAAUGAAUUAAUUUAGAUAAUUAAAUAAGCACCAUUAUUUAGUCUGCUUCCCCCCAAGAAAAUAUUUUAUUACUGUGUUGAUGCUCUGCAAUGACUCCAAGAUGAAUAUUAGUACUCUGAAUAUAUCUUAUGAACAGAAAAUGUUACAUGUCCCUGAAUUUAAGAUACAGCUCACAUAUUAAACAUUGUUAUGCCUCUUAACAAUGUUUAAUUUAUAACCAAUAUCUUAAAUUAUAACACAGACACGAAAUACAACACACACACACACAAUUUGCUUUAGACAAAUACAAUUUGCUUUAAACAAAUACAAUGCAGGAAAACAAUGAUACACAUAGCAAAAAAAAAAUGAAAAAGAAUGAUCAUUUUCUUGUUUAUAAAAUGAUUUGUAUUAGUAUUGAGUAAAUACCAUACUACUUGAAUUUAUUUUGGGAAGCAGAUUAUACUAUAUUUUAGAUUUCUUCCACUUUGUAAGAAUAUCUCAAAAAUAAUAAAGCAAGCUCAAAUGAUAUACAGGGGAUGCAGAAUCAAAUAUAGUUAACUCAAUAACUGAAGGGGGAAUUUAUAAAUUCAGUGUUCUGAUCACCUGAGAAAGCCUUGCUGACCUCUAACUGGCCAACCUGUCCACCAUCUUCCCAAGCCCAUACUUUUGGCACAAAACAUCUCAAUAUUUCCACUUUCUUUUUAUGGGACUCCUUUCUCCCUUUGGGCCUGUUAAGUUAGGUAUGUUUCUUCUAGUUAUUUGCUAUGAUUUCUGUUAACAAAUGUAAGAGAUAAACCUAGAUGGAGGGAAGGCACAAGGGAGAACAGUGGUAGAACAGGAAGCAACUGAUGGCCCUAGGUGGUACCUAGUCUUCUCAAAUAAUGAUAUUGACAAAGUUGUGAAAGGCAUAUGGGGAAAUUUAUUAAAUACAGGAUAUUUUGAUAGAAAAAUACAUUGAGGCAAGAAAGACUAGAUAUCAAACACAUCAUUAUAUUAUUGGUUCACUUCAUAAAUAAAAUCAGGUAAAACAUAAAAGUUCUUGAAGUGUGACAAUAUAUUGCUUUCAUUUGGGUAUCUCUAGUGCCUAGCAUAGUGGUAGAUAAGAUCUUUUAAUGAAUACUAAUUGAGUGAAUGAUGAAUAGAAUAACUAGAAAGCUCCAUCAAAGAGGUACAAUGUCAAUUGGACCAUGAAGAUGGCAUAGCAUUUGAAGAGAAUUGAAAGUAGACAGUGAGCCCAAUGUUUGGGACAUCAUGAGCUGAAUAGAAAGGCACAGUCACUGAAGACAAAAAAAAAUAAAAACAGAAAAUUGGGUAAUGGCCAUAUAGAAAGGAGAGAUGAAAAUAAGGGGAUACAAGAGUGCACCUGUUUUUGUCAUGCCAGAAAUUUCAGUAUAAAUUUUGUUUAAAGUAAAAACCUUAUUUAAAAGAAACAGAAGUCAUCAUAGAGAAAUAAGCCAUUAGUAGUUUAGCAGUUUAUGGCUGGCUUUUGCUAGUUAAUAGUCUGAUGCAAAGCUCAGAAUUGUUAAGUUACUGAAAAACCAGCAUUGAACUGCAGUAAUGAUCAAUUUCUUGGGGAUUACACAUUUUAAACCAUAACAAAUGAUUUAAAAUAGCAGUUGUGACAGCUGUGUUGGGAAAAUCCAUCAUUCUGCAGCAGAUAAUCAGCACGUUUUUUUUUUCCCCCGGAAAGAAUAUGGGACAGUCCUUGAUGGCCUUGUUAUUUUGAUUAGGCUAUUUUUUAUAUCAUGCUGCUAAAGAAAUUGUUGAGGAAAGACUGCUGAAUCAUUAGCAGUUCCUGCGUAGUCCUUCCAGUUAUUUAUUUUGCCUUCUGUUGGCAAAUCUAAACCACAUAAUCCCCUGAGCUUUUUUUUUUUUUUCUUUUCAAUUGGUUUUGUGGUGGGGAAAGGCCAUGAGGCUACUCACUAUACUCAUGUUCACUUUGUAACCUUAUUUUUCAUUCACACAAUUUUGUCCUUCCUGUCAUUUGUUUGGGAGACUAGCAAAGAAACCAUGUGAUCCUUUAAGGCCACCAAGAGUGCAGCCAUAAACAGCAUCUCAGAAUAUUUGAUGCUGUGCUACAGAAAAAUGAGACAACAUGCAUAGUAGGAUAGUUUUGGUCAGCAUCAUGUCUGUGCAGAGAAAUAAAAACGUGGAGCUGGAGAGGACUUUUGAACAUGAACAAAUCAUAUCCUGCCUCCAAGAAGGCCUUUCCUUAACCAAUCCUUGAGAUGGAAAAUAAGGACAGUUAGUUCCUAUUGGAACUCUUCAUUUUGUUUCCUUUCUUAGUCUUCAAGAAUUCCAAAGGGACAGAUGUGUUCAGCAUGAUCAGGUAUUAGAGUUGUGUGGAAAAAAACUAGCCAAGGUUGGGAGAUAGAAUUGGAGAAAGAAAAAGGUACACACUAAUCACACUCCACCUCAUACCUUAUUCAUCAGGCAGAGUUAUUUCUUUAAAACAAUUGCAAAAUAAGGAGAUGCAUCCUAUUUGGGGAGACCCUCAAAAGAAUUCCAUAGACUUCAACUUUAGAUGUGUUAAAGUAGGUUUAAGGGACUCUGAUGUACAGCUGUUUGAUGUUAUUUGAUAAUUGACACAUUACUAAGACUUACACUCUUUUUAAUUCCCACAAAGUCUAGUAUACUGCUCAGGUACAGACGUUGAUGAUUAUAUUACAAUAAAGGGCAAUCAUUUGUCAAAGGGCACCAAAGAGGGUCUCUGAGUUAAUAUUUGCAUGAACAUCCCAUCACCACAAAUGUUUUGAAAUAGCCAAGUGUAAUCAAAAUUAGCAAAUUCUUUUUUAGGUGUGAUUUUUUUUCUCCUUUUGGAGAAAACUUAGAAUAGGCAGAAGCAGAUAUUUCUGGCUCUGAACAGAUGAAGCCUGGAGUUGAAUAAAUACAAUUUUGACUUUGACACCUUAAGAUUGAAGGCAUGUAUGAUCAAGCUGCUACAACUUUCAGAGCAAGCAUUGUAAGUUAAAGGUACCAGAGGGAAAGGAGGUCCUUUUUCAUCAAGCACAGUAACAACUGAGAUAGUUGCUAGACUUUAUAAAUAUUACUUAAAGCACAGUUGUUACUUUUGGACCACCAUGAACAUAUAUCAUUUCACACAUAUCAGAGAGUAAAUUUACAUUCAAGUUGUUUAAAAAGCACAAAUGAAACUCACAUGAUCAGGAGAUGCUGUAUGUUUCUAAGGCAUCAUAAGUUCCUUUUACCUAAUUAAUCUAUUUGCAUAUUCAUCUCCUUUUUUUAUACUGGCAGCUGCCUAAGGGCAAAUUCUCUCUUUGUAUAAUGAUAGGGUCUAGUACAUUGCCUGGCAAAUUGUAGGCACUCAUCAAUCUCAACAUGAAGUUCUAAAAGAUAUGCUGGGUACAGUGGAAUAUGCCUGUAAUUCCAACCACUGAGAAGACUGAGGAAGGAGGACUGCAAGUUUAAGACCAGCCUUGGAAAUUUAGGGAGACCCCAUCUCAAAAGAAAAGUAAAACAAACAAAUAAAUAAGAUAAAGAAAUAAGGGGGCUGGAGAUGAUGUAGUCCAGUGGUACAAUAUCCCAAGGUCAACCCCCAGUACUGCAAAAAUACAUACAUACAGACAGACAGACAGACAAAAGGAGAGGAGAUGCAUGGAGGGGUGUAUACAUGUAUGUAUGUGAUGGUUGUGAUGCAAAUAUAAUUUUUAUGCUAAAAAAUAAUAUGGGAGAAAAGGGAAUCACUGUCCAAUGUGUCCUAUGACACAUUGGAGUUUUCACACAAAGGCUGUAAAAUGCUGCAAUGUAGCAAAUUACUUUCAGUAUUCAAAGGUGAUUAUUUAUCCAUAGGUGAAUUUCCUUUUUUUUUUUUAACCCUAUAAUCAUCUUUCUGAUUCCAUUGUGAGGCCAAAUUUCCUCACAAAUUUCUUCAGUUAAAAAGCCCCAAGGGAAAAGAUAUGAACUAGUUAAGGUCAGAGGGCAUGAAUGUAAAAACACAGUAGAAGCUUCUGCCAAAUUGGCAUAAGUUGGGAUUGUCAGAUCACAUUACCUAAUUUUCAUCCAUGUUUCCUCCAGCUUCUACUCUGGUACCUUCUUCACUAAAUGUAUGAUACAACCUUGUAGUUAUAUCAACUAUGGAAACAUGAGAUGGAGAAAGUUCCAAUUACUUCACCUCUUCUUUUUCCCUCAGCAAACCCCCAAAUUACACAAAUCUUGAUUAGUUUAAUUUAAAAAAUGCAUACUGGACCAUAUUUGUAGGUAAAAAGUUACAGAAAUACCAGAAUGAUAUUUUUCCUCUUCCAGAAAUUUGGGACAGUGAUGGUCAUGCUUUUUAGAACUGUGAAAGGAGUCAGAAAAGGGCCUUCGUGGUUUCAGUGGCUUUGUAGCUUAGAAACUGCUCUGUAAUUUGAGGCAGUUAUGUGUGCUUAUACAGCAGCUUCAACUGAGUUUUAUUACCCUUGUUAUUACUCCUGCAGGGAAAAAUAGGUCAAAAUAUGUAGUAACAUCAUUUGCAAAUGGAGCUGCUCUGUAUUGUGCUACAACACUGAAAUAGGAAAUUGCACAAAAUGGACAAUAAAGUUCAAUGUUUUGGGCUGCAGGAUACAAACAACAUUUGCUGGAAAUAAAUGAAUAGCUAUACUAGGUAACUAAGGGAAGACCUCAAUAUACUGCUAUAUGAUAAGGCAGAUCUACAGGGGACAAAAACACAAAGCCAGUGAUGGUCACUAUUACAAAUGGGUGACAUUUAAAAAUCUUCAAUGCUGGUCAUUAAUUAAAUUUAAAGCCACAGGCUGUAACUGCACAUACUGAGGAAAGUAUAUAGGAAAUCCAUGAGACUAGGGCUCACCCCAUCUCAAACCCUCUGAUAACUUAUCUGAGCAGCUUUAUUUGUCAAAGUAUAGUAGAAUCAUAAUCAAGUGGGAGAUGACUAUGUAGUGCUCCAUGUAUGAAGCUUCCCCACAAUGACAUUUUUUCCUCUGACAGACCACAUACUACAAAAAUGAAAGGGAACUCAGCUACCAGAAGUUGAUUUGGUAUUCAGAAAUUUUUCCCACUCAGUGCCUAAUUUUCUUUCCCACUGUCACAGAUUUUACUCUUUUAUUCUUGUAGAUUUAUGUGGGUUUAACCAUAUAGCAGUGUAUUUGAGGGCAUGGGCAAGGGCAAAGAAAUAAAUCCUCCAUAAACAAACAGGUUUCAGUGCACGACCAGUAAUGCUUCAUUGCAAUAUCACAAUGUUUUAAUAUAGAUUACUUUCUUUAUGCAAUGCAUGAAUCAGUUAACACUCAUGCAAAAUACAUUCCAUCUGCUCAGACAGAUGUAAGCUGCAGUGUUUCCAAUUCUAUCAAACAGUACAACUAGCUGAAAGAGAAGAACUGACACAGAUGGGCAAUGUGUGAGGAGAGGGGCUCAAAUUAAAGAAAAAGCUUUGUCUUAAAAUCUACCCAGUUGAAAAAUGAGAUUCUCAUUUCAUCCAUGUUUGUCCACAGAGGUACAAACACAACAGCCCUUAGUAUGAAGUAAGAUGGAGAGGGUGUUUAUGUCUUAGUGAAAACAUUUUAACUAAAUGGAAUCACCUUUGGAGUCUGUAGCAGUGAUUAGCAAUUCUAAAAGGCUCUUUAAGUAACAUAAGCUUGACUAGGAUAGAUGCUAGGACUAAGGGAAAUGUCAAGGGGUAUGGAAAAUGGAAAAGGAAAGAAUAAUAGGAAAAGUGAGAGAAGAGGUAGAUUGUUGAAGAAAGAUUGGGAGAGGAGGAGAUGAUGAGAAAAAGAUGACUUCUAUUAAAGAUUGGCCAAGAAAUGCCAACAAUAGCCCUAAAGAUCUUAUCAGUAUUCUUAAGCACAGAUGUAAAAGAUAAAAGUAAUAAUUUCCAUCAAUAUCAAGUUGCUAACUUAUCAUUAAUUCCCAAGCUUUUCCAAACGCAAAUACUUAAAUAUUGUCAUUGUAGCCCCUAGGGUUGACUGAAAGCUACUUCUCCAUGUAGUCUGUUGCCUUGAAUUCACCUUUGUGGACAAUGCUCAAAGUCCGAUAUUCCCUCUCUUAACACUCUACCUUGCUGCCACAUUCACUCAGCAUCCUAUAUGGCCUUUGCAAAAUCAAAGCACUAGCUAACUUUCCCUUAUUAAUGAAUUACAAAGGUCUUGCCCUGUGAUCUCUUCUCACCAAGGUACUACAUAUGCAUUUCAACUGGAGCUGUUUUUGUUCAAGAGUCUUUUCAACUCUAAGGAAUUACCAAUGCACUGGGAAUUUCAGCACAUUUUGGCUACUAUAAUGUUGGAUUUGCCCAUGACAGGCUGUUUACCUCAAGCCUACAGAAAUGAAAUUUGAAGAGUGUGAAAUCAACUGAAAGGCUCAGAGUUAAACCCCUCAAUGUACCCCUCACAGUUGUGUGGCAGACAGAGGUGGGAGGAGGUAAGGGAUGGUAGGAUAUAGCCACAUAGAGAAUGUCAAGCUGAAAACUGCAACAUGAUAAAAGGAGAAUGGUGCUAGUGCAUAGGAAAAUAGAAUCUAAGCACAGAAAGAUCCUAGUUAAGGUUACCAAAAAUUAACAAAAAAUAAUCACCGAGGCAAGUAAAAUCUGGCAAAGCAGGGUGGAAGACUAAGGCAACAAUCAAGAUGAAAACACAUAUUCAUGCAAAAUAUUUGGUUAUGUCAAUAAAGUAUGUAUAUGUGAAUAUAUGCAUGUAAGAGGAUUUCAUGGGGGCAACAAUGUGUGUGGGCAGCAGUAACAAUUCCUGAAUUCAGAGGGAAGGAAGGAAAGAGAUUUUAAAAAGGAUCAUGGAAGUCUGUAAAAACUAACUUUGUCUUAUAAACAACUUGGACAUUUUUCCUUCCUUCUUCAAAUAGUUUUUCCUGCUGUAAUUCUUCAUAUUUGUUUAUCUCCACUGCUCAAUGGCACAGAUUCAUCAGAGCCAAGACUAAUCCCAAGACUCCCUUCCUAUUUUAGUGCUCUUUUUAUUCUUUCACACUAUCUCCUAUUAAAGAGGAAGUUAUCAUCUGUGGGCUAGGCAGCAAGCAAGAUAUUGUAAAAAUUAGUUUCUACUUUUAAGGAACUUUUAAUAAAGUAAUAAAGAUUUGCAAAUGACAUGAUUCUAUACCUAGAAGACCCAAAAGGGUCUACAAAAAAACUACUAGAACUAAUAAAUGAAUUCAGCAAAGUGGCAGGAUAUAAAAUCAACACGCAUAAAUCAAAGGCAUUUCUGUAUAUCAGCGACAAAACUUCUGAAACGGAAAUGAGGAAAAACACUACAUUCACAAUAUCCUCAAAAAAAAUAAAAUACUUGGGAAUCAACCUAACAAAAGAGAUGAAAGAUUUAUACAAUGAAAACUACAGAACCCUAAAAAGAGAAGUAGAAGAAGAUCUUAGAAGAUGGAAAAAUAUACCCUGUACAUGGAUAGGCAGAACUAACAUAAUCAAAAUGGCGAUAUUACCAAAAGUUCUCUAUAGGUUUAAUGCAAUGCCAAUCAAAAUCCCAACGGCAUUUCUUGUAGAAAUAGAGAAAGCAAUCAUGAAAUUCAUAUGGAAAAAUAAACGACCCAGAAUAGCAAAAACAAUGCUAAGCAGGAAGUGUGAAUCGGGAGGUAUAGCGAUACCAGACUUAAAACUAUAUUACAGAGCAAUAGUAACAAAAACAGCAUGGUACUGGUACCAAAACAGGCGGGUGGAACAAUGGUACAGAAUAGAGGACACAGAGACUAAUCCACAAAGCUACAACUAUCUUAUAUUUGAUAAAGGAGCUAAAAGCAUGCAAUGGAGGAAGGAUAGCAUCUUCAACAAAUGGUGUUGGGAAAACUGGAAAUCCAUAUGCAACAAAAUGAAACUGCAUCCCCUCCUCUCGCCAUGCACAAAAGUUAACUCAAAGUGAAUCAAGGAGCUAGAUAUCAAAUCAGAGACUCUGCAUCUGAUAGAAGAAAAAGUUGGCUCUGAUCUACAUAUUGUGGGGUCGGGCUCCAAAUUCCUUAAUAGGACACCCAUAGCACAAGAGUUAAUAACAAGAAUCAACAAAUGGGACUUACUUAAACUGAAAAGUUUUUUCUCAGCAAGAGCAACAAUAAGAGAGGUAAAUAGGGAGCCUACAUCAUGGGAACAAAUUUUUACUCCUCACACUUCAGAUUGAGCCCUAAUAUACAGAGUAUACAAGGAACUCAAAAAAUUAGACAAAAAGAUAACAAACAACCCUAUCAACAAAUGGGCCAAGGACCUGAACAGACACUUCUCAGAAGAGGACAUACAAUCAAUCAACAAGUACAUGAAAAAAUGCUCACCAUCUCUAGCAGUCAGAGAAAUGCAAAUCAAAACCACCCUAAGAUACCAUCUCACUCCAGUAAGAUUGGCAGCCAUUAUGAAGUCAAACAACAAGUGCUGGAGAGGAUGUGGGGAAAAGGGUACUCUUGUACAUUGCUGGUGGGACUGCAAACUGGUGCGGCCAAUUUGGAAAGCAGUAUGGAGAUUCCUGGGAAAGCUGGGAAUGGAACCACCAUUUGACCCAGCUAUUGCCCUUCUCAGACUAUUCCCUGAAGACCAUAAAAGAGCAUACUACAGGGAUACUGCCACAUCGAUGUUCAUAGCAGCACAAUUCACAAUUGCUAGACUGUGGAACCAACCCAGAUGCCCUUCAAUAGAUGAAUGGAUAAAAAAAUGUGGCAUUUAUACACCAUGGAGUAUUACACAGCACUAAAAAAUGACAAAAUCAUGGAAUUUGCAGGGAAAUGGAUGGCACUAGAGCAGAUUAUGCUUAGUGAAGCUAGCCAAUCCCUAAAAAACAAAUACAAAAUGUCUUCUUUGAUAUAAUGAGAGCAACUAAGAACAGAGCAGGGAGGAAGAGCAGGAAGAAAAGAUUAACAUUAAACAGAGACAUGAGGUGGGAGGGAAAGGGAGAGAAAAGGGAAAUUGCAUGGUAAUGGAGGGAGACCCUCACUGUUAUACAAAAUUACAUAUAAGAGGUUGUGAGGGGAAUGUGAAAAUAAACAAGGAGAGAAGUGAAUUACAGUAGAUGGGGU
Marmota monax (woodchuck) is the source of this 21204-nucleotide long non-coding RNA. RefSeq lists it as uncharacterized. Lineage: Eukaryota; Metazoa; Chordata; Mammalia; Rodentia; Sciuridae. The transcript has 8 exons. The record is from RefSeq and is a predicted model, not a curated record.